UUUUUUUUUAUUUCAACUCUAUAAAGUAUACAACAGGCACUCGGCAAUUACAGCUGCAGGAAAAAUACAGAGCAAAUCAAAGCAGGUUAAUUUUAUGAAAAAGUUUUUAAUCUACAUCAAAAGAGUGCAAGUGGUCAAUGACCAUUUGAUGACAGUUGUUGCAUUCUGACUAACAAAGGACUCUUUCAUGUAGAACAAAUUGUAAGAGGACAAUCAAGUAACCAUAGCUGUAAGAAUACAAAAGAACUGACCAGUUGUAAAAACAUCAUACAAUGAAAUAAAUUGGAUAGAUGAUACUUGAAGAAAUGUCCCUUGCCUCGGAAAGCCCAAACCUCUGAGUCACUGUCAAGGUCCCAGAGCUCUGUUAAGUCAGGGGCAGAUAAAGAGGAGGGCUAACAACACACUUCCAAUUUUAUCUUUCCAGGUCCGUUGCAAACUUGCCUCAUAAAUGAUUUGCAUAUACAAGAACUCAGAAAGCAUCCUGUUUUGUUGAGGAGUGCACCAAGGUACGUGUUCAUCAUUGGUUUCAUAACGAGGUGUGGUUAGCAGUCACUUUCCAAUUUUUCUUUUGAGUUGGAGCGUCGGUAAUGGAGUCUAUAAAAUGAGACGUUAGAACUUGACUGCACUCAUGGUUUUUUUAUUUUUUAACUGAAUCUGCACAGCUUAGCAAAACAGGAAUGCCUGUAUACAGACUGAUAGUAUGUCAUAUAUUAAUUUGACCUGCACAUACAUUUUACAUUUCACAGAAAUGACGCUGUAUCUCAGUAACAGAUACACAGCUCUGGUACAUGUAACAGAAAUAAGAGAGCGACUUCAUCAUUUCUGUAAUUCAUCAAUAUUAUAUAAUAAAGGCUUAUAAAUUGUUAGCAGAAAGAACUGUAAAACGCAGCAAGCUAAGAAAGGACAACAUUUUGAGGUGUAUUUGUCUUUGUCAUGCAGCAUAACACCAAAUUUGUUUUUUAAUAGGAUGCCAUGAAUUUAAGGCACUUGCAACAAUGCCAGAUAGCCAGGUCAUGUUCUAAACUAUGGAACAGAUGAAACCAUACAGUUGACAUAAUUUUCAAUAAUACUGACAAUUAUGACAUUAAUUCAAGUCUACUUGGACCUAAAAACAGUAUUCAAUACAAAGAAAAUGAAAUAAUAAUGCUGUGAAACACUAAAAAAAAGUUAUAUGUACCACAAAAUAUCACACAAAAAUAUCUAUUUACAUAAAUAUUUGUCUGUGGUCCUAUUGUGAAAGAAAACGUCGUUAUGGAUAAUGCACAGAUCACCUCUACCGUAUGAAAUCAGUUCUGCUAUCCUAGUUUUCAGUAUGGUAGCUGACUUCUGUAAAUUUAGUUCACCAUCAGUUCAGUCAUGUAGAAAUAAAACGACAAAAAUUCAAUAGCUGAAUUUCUAUAUCACACGUGUGAUUCACAUGCCUAUCCCAUAAUUUUAAGUAAAAGAAAAAAAAAGUGACUUGUAAAGAAUAUCAUCAAAGAAAUUUGUUUUAAAUGCCACAUGGAUCUGACUCGUAGGUGAGUAACAAAGUAGAAAGAAACGUAAAAAUCAUUUAUAGCAAUUUUCCAGAACUCGUUUCCUCUAAUGUGUUCAAUUUAUCUCAAAUAUCAUGAUGUUCCUUUCCUUGGCAGUUUGCAGUUUUUCCUGUGCGCCAAGACACACGGAAAGCCCUUAUUUCCCAUGCUCAGAGUAGUAACAAGAGAGUCAGUUAACAAAUCGAACAAGUUGGCACUAUUCUAACUUACCCAGAUGUUCUUUAGUGUGAGGAAAAAGAGAAGGGGCAUGAAAAUUCAGAAAUAAUGUGAGAUGCGCUCUACGAAGCUGACCGUGAUUUUUAGCCCUAGUGUCUUCGUUAAGACAAGAUUUAAACCCUUGAAUUUCAAUGCUGAAGAUUAGAGGACUGUUUUUCUCUUAGCAACUUUUUGGAAGAUGUAGUUCACCUUCUGUUGGUUAGUAUGCGAUGCCACAGGUGAAAUGCAACAACGAUGUGCUAACGAGUAGGAGAAAUGGGAGACCGUUCCAUCGAGCCGCUGCUACUUCUUCAUUCCUCAGAGGACUUGUACAUUGUUGUCUUAGACUUGAACCAGACUUCCAACAUCCGCAGGGAGCACUAAGCUCUGGGGCUUUGGGAGGGGGGGGUGGUAUUUAGGUAAACUUAGUAUUCUAACAAACCUCCACACUCUAGCUUUCCACAAAAAUCACUGAACAUUGACCACGGUGUUGAAAUUAUAUACUUUUUCAAAGCCCGGUUAAAAGCAAUAUAGAGAUGCUGAAAUAGCAUUCAGAGCCGGAUCUUAGGUUGAUACGUUUAAUUUUUACAUUCUGAAAUCUGUAGAAGAAAGUGGAUAUCUUGGGGGCAUAAAGGGACCGUAAGCAAUUAUUCGCAAAGGAGGGAAAACUACUGUAAGAAUAGCAGUAACCUCUUGGGAUCAAAAGUUUAACAUCGCUUUAUUCUGAUGAGAGAUAAUAUGCCCUUAGUAUUGUUAUUCCCCAAAUGUUUCUUAGACUGUUAUGUUUUGAUACCAUAUUCUAAAGUAGCCUUAGUAUGAAAAAUUCCAACAGAAAUAAUAAGAUAUGCCUCCUGGGAUAUGGUAAUAAUGACCUUUGUGGACAUAUUUUUUUGGGAAAUGUUUACGUUUGAUUGACUUUAAAAAGAAACUAAAUUUUAUACCGGAUAAAAGCAACCUUCAGUUGAGUAU
RNAcentral lists this long non-coding RNA (2699 nucleotides) under Canis lupus familiaris (dog). RNAcentral describes it as "lncRNA (ENSCAFG00000052086.1)". Lineage: Eukaryota; Metazoa; Chordata; Mammalia; Carnivora; Canidae. The record is from RNAcentral.